This 31-nucleotide non-coding RNA is filed under the name Homo sapiens (human). Lineage: Eukaryota; Metazoa; Chordata; Mammalia; Primates; Hominidae. The record is from RNAcentral.
UGGCUGGAAAAUUCCACUACCUUAUCUACUC